This 2731-nucleotide long non-coding RNA is filed under the name Homo sapiens (human). Its description in RNAcentral is "HSALNT0147117". Lineage: Eukaryota; Metazoa; Chordata; Mammalia; Primates; Hominidae. The record is from RNAcentral.
CUAGAGGUCUUAGUUCCAAAGAGAGAGAUGCUUCCACCAGGAGACACAACACUGAUUUCAUUGCACUGGAAUUUAAAACUGCUGCCUGGCUGCUUUGGCUUCCUCAUGCUUCCAAAGCAACAGACAAAGAAGGGGGUUACAUUGCUGGCUGGGGUGAGUGAUCCUGACUACCAAGGGGAAAUUGGACUACUACUCUACAAUGGAGCUUGAUUAUGAAGAGGACAUUAGACAAACGCCAGUGAAGAAGCAUCCUACAAAAUACUCGACCAGAGCUCCUCAAAACUGUUAUGCUCAUCAAAAACGUCUGAGAAACUGUCCCACCCGAAAGGACACUGAGGAGAUAUGACAACUACAUGUAAUAUGGUAUCUGGUCAAAAUUCUCAGGAGUUGUCUGCAUACCCUGUCUUCAGUUUUGCAUGACUCAUUCACCCUUCAACCUCCUCCAACCUGGCUUCUACUCCCUCAGCUCCACCCACGACAUUUGCUGAAGCCAUAAAUUACCUUCAGAAUCAGAGAGCUGGUACCAUUUUAGUAGGUUCGUGGCCUGCCUGAAAACUAUGACCUUGGAGCAUCAUUUACUCAAAAUGCUAAUCCAAAAACAGGACAUCAAAACUAGUCAUCCUUCACCUCAUGGAAAUGAAUACCCCAAGGUUUCCUCUGGUCACUUUCCACACAUCCUCAUUUGGCCCCUGCUCAUGAGCAAGUUGAUUUAGGAGAUGGUGCCUGGCAGUUCCUCCUCUGAUUAUCCAGGGAAGACAGAAAAAGAGGAAAACAGGAGACAAGAAGUAAAGCUUAGAACAGAGAGGUAACCAUUAACCAGUAAGGGCUAAUAGAUGAGUCCAGAGAAAAGAUAACAAAGGAGGCAAGGAGAGCAUGGUAAGCCAUGGUAGGGGUGAGGGAAAGAUAUUGAAGAUUGAACUCCACCAGUGUGGGAUAAUGUUUGUAUGUGGACUGUGUUGUGUCUCAGGUUCAGGUUGUUUAAGCAGCCUAGUGACCCAGAUGGUCCCCUCCUUAGUGUCUGGUUUUGUCAGGUUGUAACUUGGCUUUUUCAGUUCCCUAAUAUCUCACAUUAUCUCCUCUUCCUCCUAGGCCUUAAUCAUGUCUUACUUUUUUACCUCCCAAUUGGUUGAUAUUGAAUUCUUAUUAAAUAAAAAUGUACUCUUUACUCUUGAGUUAAAAUUCUGAUGGGGGAAGAAUGUAUACACAGAAAUAAUGUCACAACUAUUUAUGUUAAUUAAAGGAAAUACAGAGCAAGGUCAACUGAGAUAUUCCGGAGAAGGGAGUUUCCUUAGGGUAUUGCCGCAUGGACAUACGUGCUCACUGUGGCACAGAAACACCUGCAGAUUUUUCUUUCACGUAAGACUCAGAGGCAAAGUUACUGUAAUCAAGAAUAUGUUGUUAAGAAGGCCUGGUAUUAAUACUGUCAUUGGUAAGCAUUUUGUAACUUAUAUAAAGCAGACCUUGGGUUUUCAGGACACUUCAUCUGCUAAUUGUCAACAAAAUACAGCUGAGGUUGCAAUGUGUCAGCAAGAAUGUCAAGGAGGAAGUCAGAGGGUCAAAUCAGCUGGGGCUUGGCCCAUUUACCCUAGGUGGUGUUCUUAAAGACUCAGUGGUUCAUUCUGCUUGGCAGCUUAAAGAGCCAUUGAGGUUCAGAACUAAAAAUGUGUGGGCCAGGAAGAGGGCAGUGAAUGACUGGGACCAACUUGCCAGUGUCUCCCAGGGGCACCGGCUCAGAUAACUGGAAGUCUGGAAGCUUUCUCAUACGCAGCCAGUCCCGUAAGCAGCUCUUGGCAAGACUAAAAAAAAAAAAAAAAAAAAGAAAGAAAAAAAGAAAAGAGCUUCCCACUUGUGUUUCUUAACUGUAACUGUGCCUAAGAAUCACGUGGUGCUUGUCAAAGUGCAUAUUCCUGAGCCCUACUCACAGGCACUUACACGCUCCUUUCGGGGUUGGGCCCAGAGAUCAGCAUUUUCACAGGCACACCAGGUAUUCCAGAAUAAGAUGGUCUGUGGAGCACGUUUUCAGAAAUGCUGCCUUAAAGCCUUCCACGUGUCCCAGCUGUCUAAUCACUGUAUGAGGGUCCAUGAUUUAAUCUAUUUUCAAAGACAGGGGUCUGGAAGUCGUUUUUCUCCUCCCACAUUCAAUCUGUCAUCUCCUUCUGCCACUGUGUUCUAACAUUUCCCUUAAGUUUGGGCCCUCUCCUCAAGCUCCUCACUGAAAAGCACUGUCUAAGCUGGAUGCAUUUCACACGAGAGCUUCUGUGGUUGGACUGCUUAAGUUAAACCAGCCUCCACGAGGGUGUCCAGCAGAGAGGUGCACCUGAGGGAUUAGGGCAACAACCUAACUCGGGCCUCAGUUACUGCAGAAUUCAAUUUGCCAGAGGUGCCAACGUGAAGACCAAAGGUUGAGUCUUACACAGGUCUUCCUGUUUUGUUUCUUUAAACCUUGAACGUUUUGCCAAUGUUUUUAAAUGGGGGGAAUUUCUCAUAGACAUCCAGAUUUCUGGGUGUUCUUAGAAUAUCAGAUCUGGCUAGUUUGGCCAGUUUCCCUAAGGGCAACAGUCAGCUGGGUUGAGGAGAGGCUGCCCUCUUGAGACGCUGUACCAGCCUCCCCAAGCAGAGGUACAUAUUGUCUGAAGAUAAGAAAGCUAACAUGCUAAAGCCUGAUCUUUCAAGGCCCUUGACCCAAUUUUGUAUUUGCAAUUCUGUGUUGUUUUCUUAAAGAGGCCUCCAC